Molecule: transfer RNA, 73 nt
Filed under: Toxocara canis (dog roundworm)
Lineage: Eukaryota; Metazoa; Nematoda; Chromadorea; Rhabditida; Toxocaridae
Rfam family: tRNA
About the family: Transfer RNA (tRNA) molecules are approximately 80 nucleotides in length. Their secondary structure includes four short double-helical elements and three loops (D, anti-codon, and T loops).
Source: Rfam by way of RNAcentral
GAAUUCUUAGCUCAGUCGGUAGAGCGUCAGAUUCUUAAUCUGAGGUUCGUGAGUUCGAGUCCCAGAGAGGGCG